UACUCACAGUGUUUGCAAAGCUGGAACCGUC
This 31-nucleotide non-coding RNA is filed under the name Mus musculus (house mouse). Lineage: Eukaryota; Metazoa; Chordata; Mammalia; Rodentia; Muridae. The record is from RNAcentral.